This 252-nucleotide ribosomal RNA is filed under the name uncultured Adlercreutzia sp. RNAcentral's name for it is "partial 16S ribosomal RNA". It matches the Rfam family "Bacterial small subunit ribosomal RNA", at positions 524 to 776 of the family's 1533-position model. Lineage: Bacteria; Bacillati; Actinomycetota; Coriobacteriia; Eggerthellales; Eggerthellaceae. The record is from RNAcentral.
UACGGAGGAUGCGAGCGUUAUCCGGAUUCAUUGGGCGUAAAGCGCGCGCAGGCGGGUUGCUAAGCGGGACCUCUAAUCCUGGGGCUCAACCUCAGGCCGGGUCCCGAACUGGCAGCCUCGGGUUCGGUAGGGGAGAUCGGAAUUCCCGGUGUAGCGGUGGAAUGCGCAGAUAUCGGGAAGAACACCGAUGGCGAAGGCAGAUCUCUGGGCCGCAACCGACGCUGAGGCGCGAAAGCUAGGGGAGCGAACAGG